Molecule: long non-coding RNA, 209 nt
Organism: Strigops habroptila (Kakapo)
Lineage: Eukaryota; Metazoa; Chordata; Aves; Psittaciformes; Psittacidae
Exons: 2
Source: RefSeq, a predicted model, not a curated record
AUCGGAUCCUUUUUAACUUGUUGCCAAGCUCGGCAGGGCCGGCAGCCGCCCGGGCCUCGGUGGCCGCACCGCACCGCGCCGCCCGGUCCUAAAAUGGAUGUCGUUCAGUUUGGCCUUCACUUGAUAACAGAAGUUUAAAUGCUGCUAGUACUGGAUGAAAAGCACUGCAGCCACAUGGUGAUCACUGCCACUGAAAAAUGUUUGAUGGA